RNAcentral lists this ribosomal RNA (463 nucleotides) under uncultured bacterium. RNAcentral describes it as "partial 16S ribosomal RNA". It matches the Rfam family "Bacterial small subunit ribosomal RNA", at positions 338 to 795 of the family's 1533-position model. The record is from RNAcentral.
CCUACGGGUGGCAGCAGUGAGGAAUAUUGGUCAAUGGGCGCGAGCCUGAACCAGCCAAGUCGCGUGAGGGAGGACGGCCCUACGGGUUGUAAACCUCUUUUGCCGGGGAGCAACGGGCGCCACGUGUGGCGUCACUGAGAGUACCCGGAGAAAAAGCAUCGGCUAACUACGUGCCAGCAGCCGCGGUCAUACGUAGGAUCCGAGCAUUAUCCGGAGUGACUGGGUGUAAAGAGUUGCGUAGGUGGCAUAAUAAGUAGCUAGUGAAAUCUGGUGGCUCAACCAUUCAGACUAUUAGCUAAACUGUUAAGCUCGAGACCGUUAGGGGUAACUGGAAUUUCUAGUGUAGGAGUGAAAUCCGUAGAUAUUAGAAGGAACACCAAUAGCGUAGGCAGGUUACUGGGACGGUUCUGACACUAAGGCACGAAAGCGUAGGGAGCAAACGGGAUUAGAUACCCCUGUAGUC